GCCUGAGUGGCUCAGUUGGUAAAAGCAUCAGACUUGGGCUCAGGUCAUGAUCUCGUGGUCUGUGAGUUCGAGUCCCGCGUCGGGCU
RNAcentral lists this transfer RNA (86 nucleotides) under Felis catus (domestic cat). It matches the Rfam family "tRNA". From Rfam's summary of the family: Transfer RNA (tRNA) molecules are approximately 80 nucleotides in length. Their secondary structure includes four short double-helical elements and three loops (D, anti-codon, and T loops). The record is from Rfam by way of RNAcentral. Lineage: Eukaryota; Metazoa; Chordata; Mammalia; Carnivora; Felidae.